GGGGAUGAUCCGGUUUCGACGGGAGUGUCGGAGGCGGGAUAAGCGAGCCGUGGCCCCGAACCACGAUAAAAGCGGGAAAAAAAGUAACUGACAAUAACGAAUUUGCUUUCGCGGCCUAAUAGGCCGUGACGGUGGCCCGGUUUGACCGCGUGGCCGGUCUCCACCGUCAUGAACGCGGUGAACGAGCAUGCUUAAGCUUUGCGGCAUGCCCGUAGCAUGAAGCUACUGAAGCGCCCAGCCUGUCUGCGGGCGGGGCGCGGAGGGAAUGUCAAAUCACAGACUGCGCUCGGAGAAGGUUCCGCUGGCGAGCUUUCGGACAGGGGUUCGACUCCCCUCAUCUCCAC
This 344-nucleotide small RNA is filed under the name pig gut metagenome. RNAcentral's name for it is "transfer-messenger RNA". It matches the Rfam family "transfer-messenger RNA". Rfam says of the family: Bacterial tmRNA, also known as 10Sa RNA or SsrA, is named for its dual tRNA and mRNA-like properties. Its role is to liberate the mRNA from a stalled ribosome. The record is from RNAcentral.